GAUGAACGCUGACAGAAUGCUUAACACAUGCAAGUCAACUUGGACUUCGGUUUGGGUGGCGGACGGGUGAGUAACGCGUAAAGAACUUGCCUCACAGAUAGGGACAACAUUUGGAAACGAAUGCUAAUACCUGAUAUUAUGAUUUUAGGGCAUCCUAGAAUUAUGAAAGCUAUAUGCGCUGUGAGAGAGCUUUGCGUCCCAUUAGCUAGUUGGAGAGGUAACGGCUCACCAAGGCGAUGAUGGGUAGCCAGCCUGAGAGGGUGAUCGGCCACAAGGGGACUGAGACACGGCCCUUACUCCUACGGGAGGCAGCAGUGGGGAAUAUUGGACAAUGGACCAAGAGUCUGAUCCAGCAAUUCUGUGUGCACGAUGAAGUUUUUCGGAAUGUAAAGUGCUUUCAGUUGGGAAGAAAAAAAUGACGGUACCAACAGAAGAAGUGACGGCUAAAUACGUGCCAGCAGCCGCGGUAAUACGUAUGUCACAAGCGUUAUCCGGAUUUAUUGGGCGUAAAGCGCGUCUAGGUGGUUAUAUAAGUCUGAUGUGAAAAUGCAGGGCUCAACUCUGUAUUGCGUUGGAAACUGUGUAACUAGAGUACUGGAGAGGUAAGCGGAACUACAAGUGUAGAGGUGAAAUUCGUAGAUAUUUGUAGGAAUGCCGAUGGGGAAGCCAGCUUACUGGACAGAUACUGACGCUGAAGCGCGAAAGCGUGGGUAGCAAACAGG
Molecule: ribosomal RNA, 722 nt
Filed under: uncultured Fusobacterium sp.
Lineage: Bacteria; Fusobacteriati; Fusobacteriota; Fusobacteriia; Fusobacteriales; Fusobacteriaceae
Description: bacterial SSU rRNA
Rfam family: Bacterial small subunit ribosomal RNA
Source: RNAcentral